AUAAAGUGAAAGAGGAGUUCAAGAGGGCGUGAAACCGUUUAGAAGUAAAGGGGUAAAGCCGCGAGGUAGUCGUAAAAAUCAGCCGGGCGAAGGUCUCGGUCUCGGUCUUGUUCGACGUUAAAGCGAACGACCGGACGCUUUUAGGGGCCGUAGUCUGGUGCACUUUUUGCGACGAGCAUCUCGACUAAAGCGAAUCCCGGUGGAAAACGGACUUUGAAGGCAGAGCCGAGUGUUCUGCGACUAAGGUUCGUCUUAGAGAGACUGGUGAAUCGUUUUGGGUACCCGAGUAGUCGCCGUUAAGGCUCGUGAAAAUUCGAUGGCUAGUUGGUCGAAAUGUCCGUUCUUGCUCGCAGGAUCGGGCGACCCCUGAUUUUGACGUCGAAUCGAAUCGAGAGACUACGAAGGUUCAGAGGUGUCUGAGGCGGUCGCUUACCCCACCCGUCUUGAAACACGGACCAAGGAGUCUAACAUGUGCGCGAGUUAUUGGGCGGUAAACCCAAAGGCGAAAUAAAAGUAAAGACCGCUUACGCGGUAAUAAAUACGAUCCUGGCGCUUGGCUAGGCGGAGUAUUGUCCCAUCCAAGCGGUGCGUCCGCCGGGUGGAGAAAGAGCGUAAAUGUUGGGACCCGAAAGAUGGUGAACUAUGCUCGAGCAGAACGAAGCCAGAGGAAACUCUGGUGGAGGUUCGUAGCGGUUCUGACGUGCAAAUCGAUCGUCAGACUUGGGUAUAGGGGCGAAAGACUAAUCGAACCAUCUAGUAGCUGUUCCCCUUUGAAA
This 776-nucleotide ribosomal RNA is filed under the name Parkellus sp. 2_CB_2. Its description in RNAcentral is "partial large subunit ribosomal RNA". It matches the Rfam family "Eukaryotic large subunit ribosomal RNA", at positions 366 to 966 of the family's 3401-position model. Lineage: Eukaryota; Metazoa; Nematoda; Enoplea; Mononchida; Mononchidae. The record is from RNAcentral.